RNAcentral lists this ribosomal RNA (691 nucleotides) under uncultured bacterium. Its description in RNAcentral is "bacterial SSU rRNA". It matches the Rfam family "Bacterial small subunit ribosomal RNA", at positions 9 to 732 of the family's 1533-position model. The record is from RNAcentral.
GAGUUUGAUCAUGGCUCAGAACGAACGCUGGCGGCAGGCUUAACACAUGCAAGUCGAACGGGCGCUUUCGGGCGUCAGUGGCAGACGGGUGAGUAACGCGUGGGAACCUACCUGAUGGUACGGAAUAACUCGGGGAAACCCGAGCUAAUACCGCAUAAGCCCGAGCCUUAUGGUUUGGGGAAAGAUUCAUCGCCAUUGGAUGGGCCCGCGUCGGAUUAGCUUGUUGGUGUGGUAACGGCGCACCAAGGCGACGAUCCGUAGCUGGUCUGAGAGGAUGAUCAGCCACACUGGGACUGAGACACGGCCCAGACUCCUACGGGAGGCAGCAGUGGGGAAUAUUGGACAAUGGGCGCAAGCCUGAUCCAGCCAUGCCGCGUGAGUGAAGAAGGCCUUAGGGUUGUAAAUCUCCUUCGGCGGGGAAGAUAAUGACGGUACCCGCAGAAGAAGCCCCGGCUAACUCCGUGCCAGCAGCCGCGGUAAUACGGAGGGGGCUAGCGUUGUUCGGAAUUACUGGGCGUAAAGGGCACGUAGGCUGGCUGUUAAGUCGGGGGUGAAAUCCCGAGGCUCAACCUCGGAAUUGCCUUCGAUACUGACGGUCUUGAGUGCGGGAGAGGUGAGUGGCAAUUCCCAGUGUAGACGGUGACAUUCGUAGAUAUUGGGAAGAACACCAGUGGCGAAGGCGGCUCACUGG